This 28-nucleotide small RNA is filed under the name Bombyx mori (domestic silkworm). Its description in RNAcentral is "ovarian small RNA-22289". Lineage: Eukaryota; Metazoa; Arthropoda; Insecta; Lepidoptera; Bombycidae. The record is from RNAcentral.
UAGCAUAAGGUUGUAACCUUUUUGCUGC